RNAcentral lists this ribosomal RNA (467 nucleotides) under uncultured bacterium. Its description in RNAcentral is "partial 16S ribosomal RNA". It matches the Rfam family "Bacterial small subunit ribosomal RNA", at positions 28 to 507 of the family's 1533-position model. The record is from RNAcentral.
GACGAACGCUGGCGGCGUGCUUAACACAUGCAAGUCGAACGGAAAGGCCUCUUUCGGGGGGUACUCGAGUGGCGAACGGGUGAGUAACACGUGAGUAACCUGCCCUUGACUUUGGGAUAACUUCAGGAAACUGGGGCUAAUACCGGAUAGGAGCUCCUGCUGCAUGGUGGGGGUUGGAAAGUUUCGGCGGUUGGGGAUGGACUCGCGGCUUAUCAGCUUGUUGGUGGGGUAGUGGCUUACCAAGGCUUUGACGGGUAGCCGGCCUGAGAGGGUGACCGGCCACAUUGGGACUGAGAUACGGUCCAGACUCCUACGGGAGGCAGCAGUGGGGAAUAUUGCACAAUGGGUGGAAGCCUGAUGCAGCAACGCCGUGUGCGGGAUGACGGCCUUCGGGUUGUAAACCGCUUUCGCUCAUGACGAAGCUUUGUGUGACGGUAGUGGGUAAAGAAGCACCGGCUAACUACGUG